ACGGAAGGCAGCAGUGGGGAAUAUUGGACAAUGGGGGAAACCCUGAUCCAGCGACGCCGCGUGAGUGAAGAAGUAUUUCGGUAUGUAAAGCUCUAUCAGCAGGGAAGAUGAUGACGGUACCUGACUAAGAAGCCCCGGCUAACUACGUGCCAGCAGCCGCGGUAGUACGUAGGGGGCAAGCGUUAUCCGGAUUUACUGGGUGUAAAGGGUGCGUAGGCGGCACGGCAAGUCAGAAGUGAAAUCCCAGGGCUCAACCCUGGAACUGCUUUUGAAACUGUCGAGCUAGAGUACAGGAGAGGUAAGCGGAAUUCCUAGUGUAGCGGUGAAAUGCGUAGAUAUUAGGAGGAACACCAGUGGCGAAGGCGGCUUACUGGACUGACACUGACGCUGAGGCACGAAAGCGUGGGGAGCAAACAGGAUUAGAUACCCUGGUA
RNAcentral lists this ribosomal RNA (434 nucleotides) under uncultured Anaerosporobacter sp. RNAcentral's name for it is "partial 16S ribosomal RNA". It matches the Rfam family "Bacterial small subunit ribosomal RNA", at positions 341 to 792 of the family's 1533-position model. The record is from RNAcentral. Lineage: Bacteria; Bacillati; Bacillota; Clostridia; Lachnospirales; Lachnospiraceae.